Molecule: ribosomal RNA, 630 nt
Filed under: Triticum aestivum (bread wheat)
Lineage: Eukaryota; Viridiplantae; Streptophyta; Magnoliopsida; Poales; Poaceae
Description: partial small subunit ribosomal RNA
Source: RNAcentral
AUGGCUUUCGCUUUAGAUCAGAGGCAUCUGAGAAAAAAACGUAGAAGGUUGAAAACAGUGAACACAGGAGUUUGUUUGCCUUCCUUCAUCUCAGAGACUCAACAUCUUGAGUACUAUGGUGUCACUGAGGAAAUAAUCAAAUUAUCCUUCACAGCUAGUAGAAAAAUUGAGAUGGUACUCUUCAAAUGUCGUUGGUUUGAUCCUAUCAAAGGUGUGAAGCCAAAUGCAAAAUUAGGUUUGGUGGAGAUCCAGUUGUCUUCAAGGCUUCGUAAUUUUGAACCAUUUGCCAUGGCUCACCAAGCUACACAAGCUUAUUACUUGAAGUAUGCAUCCUCGAGGAGAGAUCUUCAUGAUUGGAGGGUUGUGUACACGAUUCAGCCAAGCAGCAACUUGAGUAACCUUGAUGACUGCGCAAAUGACCCAUCUACUACAGAUGAAUAUUUCCAAGAAGUUAGUCAGCUGGGUAGUUUUUCUGUAGAUGUUGGCAAAUUUGGUGAUGAGUCUGCUGAGCCAAGAAAGGAGUCAGAUGAUGUGAUGCUUGAUCCCUCUGAAAUUGAAAGAAUAGAAAAUCAAGACUUUAAUGAUGAGGGAGAAGAAUCUUCAGAAGAUGAUUUGGAAGAGAGUAGAUGA